RNAcentral lists this ribosomal RNA (274 nucleotides) under uncultured bacterium. RNAcentral's name for it is "partial 16S ribosomal RNA". It matches the Rfam family "Bacterial small subunit ribosomal RNA", at positions 523 to 796 of the family's 1533-position model. The record is from RNAcentral.
AUACGGAGGGUGCAAGCGUUAUUCGGAAUCACUGGGCGUAAAGGACGCGUAGGCGGGUUGGCAAGUCAGAUGUGAAAUCCUACAGCUUAACUGUAGAACUGCAUUUGAAACUGCUAACCUAGAGUAUGGGAGGGGGAGAUGGAAUUAGUGGUGUAGGGGUAAAAUCCGUAGAUAUCACUAGGAAUACCGAAAGCGAAGGCGAUCUCCUGGAACAUAACUGACACUAAGGCGUGAAAGCGUGGGGGGCAAACAGGAUUAGAUACCCUAGUAGUCC